CAGCACCUCAAGUGGUCAGGAUGAUUAUUGGGCCUAAAGCAUCCGUAGCCGGCGCUGUAAGUUUUCGGUUAAAUCUGUACGCUCAACGUACAGGCUGCCGGAAUACUGCAGCGCUAGGGAGUGGGAGAGGUAGACGGUACUCGGUAGGAAGGGGUAAAAUCCUUUGAUCUAUUGAUGACCACCUGUGGCGAAGGCGGUCUACCAGAACACGUCCGACGGUGAGGGAUGAAAGCUGGGGGAGCAAACCGGAUUAGAUACCCCAGUAGUCC
Molecule: ribosomal RNA, 269 nt
Filed under: uncultured archaeon
Lineage: Archaea
Description: partial 16S ribosomal RNA
Rfam family: Archaeal small subunit ribosomal RNA
Source: RNAcentral